GUCUAUGGCCAUACCACCCUGAAUGCUACUGACCUCGUCUGCGCUCAGAAGAUAAGCAGGGUUGGGCCUGGUUAGUACCUGGAUGGCAGAAAUCACGUUUAUCAAAGUUC
RNAcentral lists this ribosomal RNA (110 nucleotides) under Prolemur simus (greater bamboo lemur). Lineage: Eukaryota; Metazoa; Chordata; Mammalia; Primates; Lemuridae. The record is from RNAcentral.